AUCCAGGGAUGGGAAACGAACCCACAGUGGUCCUCUUACUGGGCAGAUGCCAUGUCCACUAGGCUACCCUAGA
This 73-nucleotide transfer RNA is filed under the name Cordylochernes scorpioides. Its description in RNAcentral is "tRNA-Thr". The record is from RNAcentral. Lineage: Eukaryota; Metazoa; Arthropoda; Arachnida; Pseudoscorpiones; Chernetidae.